Molecule: long non-coding RNA, 337 nt
Filed under: Hordeum vulgare
Lineage: Eukaryota; Viridiplantae; Streptophyta; Magnoliopsida; Poales; Poaceae
Description: long non-coding RNA (HVUL_LNC001708)
Source: RNAcentral
UGUUGUGAAUCUAGAAAUACUUGUGUUGAAGUUAGUGAUUCCCGUAACAUGCACGUAUGGUGAACUGCUAUGUUAGGAAUUUGGAGCAUAAUUGAUCUAUUGAUUGACAUCCUUUGUGUUGAGGUCGGGAUCGCGCGAUGGUUAACACCUACCAACCCUUCCCCUAGGAGUAUGCGUUUAGCACUUUGUUUCGAUUACUAAUAAAAACUUUCGCAACAAGUAUGUGAGUUCUUCAUGACUAAUGUGAGUCCAUGGUCUAGAUGCACUUUCACCUUCCACCAUUGCUAGCCUCUCUAGCGCCACGCAAUUUUCGCCGGUGCAUAAACCCAUCAUAUGC